RNAcentral lists this ribosomal RNA (443 nucleotides) under uncultured bacterium. Its description in RNAcentral is "bacterial SSU rRNA". It matches the Rfam family "Bacterial small subunit ribosomal RNA", at positions 337 to 797 of the family's 1533-position model. The record is from RNAcentral.
UCCUACGGGACGCAGCAGUGGGGAAUAUUGCGCAAUGGGGGAAACCCUGACGCAGCAACGCCGCGUGAAUGAUGAAGGCCUUCGGGUUGUAAAGUUCUGUCUUCUGGGACGAUAAUGACGGUACCAGAGGAGGAAGCCACGGCUAACUACGUGCCAGCAGCCGCGGUAAUACGUAGGUGGCAAGCGUUGUCCGGAUUUACUGGGCGUAAAGGAUGCGUAGGCGGACAUUUAAGUCAGAUGUGAAAUACCCGAGCUUAACUUGGGUGCUGCAUUUGAAACUGGGUGUCUAGAGUGCAGGAGAGGUAAGUGGAAUUCCUAGUGUAGCGGUGAAAUGCGUAGAGAUUAGGAAGAACACCAGUGGCGAAGGCGACUUACUGGACUGUAACUGACGCUGAGGCAUGAAAGCGUGGGGAGCAAACAGGAUUAGAUACCCGUGUAGUCCG